RNAcentral lists this unclassified non-coding RNA (520 nucleotides) under uncultured Glomus. RNAcentral's name for it is "SSU rRNA". It matches the Rfam family "Eukaryotic small subunit ribosomal RNA", at positions 569 to 1089 of the family's 1831-position model. Lineage: Eukaryota; Fungi; Glomeromycota; Glomeromycetes; Glomerales; Glomeraceae. The record is from RNAcentral.
AGCAGCCGCGGUAAUUCCAGCUUCAAUAGCGUAUAUUAAAGUUGUUGCAGUUAAAAAGCUCGUAGUUGAAUUUCGAGAUCAAAUUGUUGGUCGUGCCUUGGUACGCACUGGCAUUAUUGGUUUCUCCCUUCUGACGAAUCAUGAUGUCAUUAAUUUGGUGUCUUGGGGAAUCAGGACUGUUACUUUGAAAAAAAUUUAGAGUGUUUAAAGCAGGCUCACGCUUGAAUACAUUAGCAUGGAAUAAUGAAAUAGGACGUUUGAUUCUAUUUUGUUGGCUUCUAGGAUCGACGUAAUGAUUAAUAGGGAUAGUUGGGGGCAUUAGUAUUCAAUUGUCAGAGGUGAAAUUCUUGGAUUUAUUGAAGACUAACUACUGCGAAAGCAUUUGCCAAGGAUGUUUUCAUUAAUCAAGAACGAAAGUUAGGGGAUCGAAGACGAUCAGAUACUGUCGUAGUCUUAACCAUAAACUAUGCCGACUAGGGAUCGGAUGAUGUUAAUUUUUUAAUGACUCAUUCGGCGCCUU